GACGUAGGGCGCGAGCGUUGUCCGGAUUUAUUGGGCGUAAAGAGCUCGUAGGCGGCUUGUCGCGUCGACUGUGAAAACCCGCGGCUCAACCGUGUGGUCUGCAGUCGAUACGGGCAGGCUAGAGUUCGGUAGGGGAGACUGGAAUUCCUGGUGUAGCGGUGAAAUGCGCAGAUAUCAGGAAGAACACCCGUGGCUAAGGCGGCUCUCUAGUACGGUACUGACGCUGAGACGCGAAAGCGUGGGGAGCGAACAGG
RNAcentral lists this ribosomal RNA (254 nucleotides) under uncultured bacterium. RNAcentral's name for it is "partial 16S ribosomal RNA". It matches the Rfam family "Bacterial small subunit ribosomal RNA", at positions 524 to 776 of the family's 1533-position model. The record is from RNAcentral.